This 486-nucleotide ribosomal RNA is filed under the name uncultured bacterium. RNAcentral describes it as "partial 16S ribosomal RNA". It matches the Rfam family "Bacterial small subunit ribosomal RNA", at positions 30 to 507 of the family's 1533-position model. The record is from RNAcentral.
AUUGAACGCUGGCGGCAUGCCUUACACAUGCAAGUCGAACGGCAGCACGGGUGCUUGCACCUGGUGGCGAGUGGCGAACGGGUGAGUAAUACAUCGGAACAUGUCCUGUAGUGGGGGAUAGCCCGGCGAAAGCCGGAUUAAUACCGCAUACGAUCCACGGAUGAAAGCGGGGGACCUUCGGGCCUCGCGCUAUAGGGUUGGCCGAUGGCUGAUUAGCUAGUUGGUGGGGUAAAGGCCUACCAAGGCGACGAUCAGUAGCUGGUCUGAGAGGACGACCAGCCACACUGGGAGUGAGACACGGCCCAGACUCCUACGGGAGGCAGCAGUGGGGAAUUUUGGACAAUGGGCGAAAGCCUGAUCCAGCAAUGCCGCGUGUGUGAAGAAGGCCUUCGGGUUGUAAAGCACUUUUGUCCGGAAAGAAAUCCUUGGCUCUAAUACAGUCGGGGGAUGACGGUACCGGAAGAAUAAGCACCGGCUAACUACGUG